Molecule: ribosomal RNA, 489 nt
Filed under: uncultured bacterium
Lineage: Bacteria
Description: partial 16S ribosomal RNA
Rfam family: Bacterial small subunit ribosomal RNA
Source: RNAcentral
GAUGAACGCUAGCGGCAGGCUUAAUACAUGCAAGUCGUGGGGCAGCAGGACUGUAGCAAUACAGUUGCUGGCGACCGGCAAACGGGUGCGGAACACGUACGCAACUUACCCUGAACUGGGGGAUAGCCCGGGGAAACCCGGAGUAAUACCCCGUAAUAUAAUGGAGUGGCAUCACUUUAUUAUUAAAGCUCCGGCGGUUCGGGAUGGGCGUGCGGCUGAUUAGGUAGUUGGUUGAGGUAACGGCUCACCAAGCCUACGAUCAGUAACUGGUGUGAGAGCACGCCCCGUCACACGGGCACUGCGACCCGGGCCCCACUCCUACGGGAGGCAGCAGUAUGGAAGAUUGGGCACUGGAGGCUACUCUGACCCAGCCAUGCCGGGUGGAGGAUGCAGGCCCUCGGGGUUGUAAACUUCUUUUAUAGGGGACGAACCCUGUGUAUUCUUGCGCAGUUGACGGUACCCUAGGAAUAAGCACCGGCUAACUCCGUG